This 1650-nucleotide long non-coding RNA is filed under the name Sus scrofa (pig). RNAcentral's name for it is "lncRNA (ENSSSCG00015065076.1)". The record is from RNAcentral. Lineage: Eukaryota; Metazoa; Chordata; Mammalia; Artiodactyla; Suidae.
AUUUAGUAACUGUGCAAAUGGGCAACCCACUAGGUAAGCUUAUGUUGAUUCAGGGUGUCCUGUCACUUAAACACAAACAUUAGGUGGUGAACUCCCUGGCAUUAAUCAGCUUAUAAAUAACCACAUCAUUUUAAGAGUGGAAAGUUUUCUUUCUGUAGCCCCCAGUCAUCUAUACAACUCGCCUCUCUCUUUCUCCAUGACAUUGCUGAGGACAUGGCUCAGAUCGUCAGUGUUGGAAAAUGAGACACAUGAACACAGGGAGAUCUCAACAAGCCUCUUUCUUUACUUCUGCAGAAGGGCGCAGGUGCUCAAAAAGUGCCUUCAAAGAAGAAAAGACCCUCCCUAUUUACCCCUAAGGCAGGUGAUAUACCUGUCCCCUCCCCAUUGGUCAGGUCAGGGCCCACGUUCUUCUCGGUUGGCUAAUUUGAAACAAAUUGUUACCGGAAGAAGAGGGAAGUGAGGUGGGGUGGGGUUGCAGGAAGGCGUUUCAGCUGAACCCUGAGCAAAAUGGAGUAACCAAGGUUUCCUUUGCUAGAAAAGACAUUAUGUUACUUUCCACAACAUUGAAAAUGAGACGAUAUAAAUGAGAAGCAUAGCUUAAGCCUACACUCUGCUGGAUUAUUUCUAUCUCCUUUUAAUCAGUGUAUGUGUAAGUAUAUCAACUCAUGACUUUUUGCCAUGACUCUUCAUAAUCAUUCCAAAGGAGUUACAAUCAAUUUGAACUAGCAAGAUCCUUGGGAUUUUAAAACAUUUUUUUUGACUUUAGGUGUGAAAAUGAAAGUUAUUCAGAGACCAUUCAGUGAUAAUGUGAGGCAUCCAUGCCUUUAUUAAAAGGAAUGAAAGUUUGGAAUGUAGGACUAAACAAUGACCAUCCUGUACGUUAAAAUGUAGCACAUAUAGGUUUGAAGACUGAAAAAUAAUCAUCCACUUCCCAUUGCACAUCAAAGCAAAAUCUCCUAUUUAACAGUUCUAAGAAGAUUUUAUUCUGCAUUUGAAUUGAUGGUUUUGCUAAAAUGUACUAUAUGAAAAACUGCAUGUUCUAUCCCUUUCUGCUUUGUAUCUGGGAGAAAAGACCCGUCUUUUAUGGUGGUUCAGAUUUCAAGUGAUAAUAGGUACCAGUGGGGAAAAAAAAAUCCUGACUUGCCUCUUGGAAAAUCAUAGAGCUUUUCUGGGUUUUAGCUUUUCUCUCUAUAGGAGGUGGACAAUGACUUUCCUAAGAGAAUUUCAAUAUUAAUUCUUGGUUUGGGGAAAACAGGCUAGGUUCGUGAUGAUAUUGCUGUGCCGUAAGUGCUCAUCCUCUGAUCUCAGCUGAGCUGGGUUGUCAAAAAGGAGUAGUUCAUCAUAUGGGUACACACAGGCAUUCAAUGAAGGCGGUUGCCUUAUUCUAUGAAAGUAUUGGCUACUCAAUGACAUAGUUUAAUGUGUAUCUCCUCACUGUGUCUUCUGAUAAAGGAACCCGUAGUAUCCAUGAGGUUGCGGGCUUGAUCCCUGGCCUUGCUCAGUGGGUUAAGGAUCCAGUGUUGCUGUGAGCUGUGUUGUGGGUCAAAAACAUGGCUCGGAUCUGGUAUUGCUGUGGCUGUGGUGUAGGCCAGCAGCUGUAGCUCCAAUAGACCCCUAGCCUGGGAACUUCCAUAUGUCUCAGGUAUGGGC